CCUACGGGCGGCUGCAGUGAGGAAUAUUGGUCAAUGGUCGGGAGACUGAACCAGCCAAGUCGCGUGAGGGAAUAAGGCCCUACGGGUCGUAAACCUCUUUUGCCGGGGAGCAAGGGCCGGGACGCGUCCCGGCCCGGAGAGUACCCGGAGAAAAAGCAUCGGCUAACUCCGUGCCAGCAGCCGCGGUAAUACGGAGGAUGCGAGCGUUAUCCGGAUUUAUUGGGUUUAAAGGGUGCGUAGGCGGGCUUUUAAGUCAGCGGUAAAAAUUCGGGGCUCAACCCCGUCCGGCCGUUGAAACUGGGGGCCUUGAGUGGGCGAGAAGAAGGCGGAAUGCGUGGUGUAGCGGUGAAAUGCAUAGAUAUCACGCAGAACCCCGAUUGCGAAGGCAGCCUUCCGGCGCCCUACUGACGCUGAGGCACGAAAGUGCGGGGAUCGAACAGGAUUAGAUACCCCUGUAGUC
Molecule: ribosomal RNA, 460 nt
Filed under: uncultured Barnesiella sp.
Lineage: Bacteria; Pseudomonadati; Bacteroidota; Bacteroidia; Bacteroidales; Barnesiellaceae
Description: bacterial SSU rRNA
Rfam family: Bacterial small subunit ribosomal RNA
Source: RNAcentral